RNAcentral lists this ribosomal RNA (478 nucleotides) under uncultured bacterium. Its description in RNAcentral is "bacterial SSU rRNA". It matches the Rfam family "Bacterial small subunit ribosomal RNA", at positions 29 to 507 of the family's 1533-position model. The record is from RNAcentral.
ACGAACGCUAGCGGGAGGCCUAACACAUGCAAGCCGAGCGGUAGAGAUUCUUCGGAAUCUUGAGAGCGGCGUACGGGUGCGGAACACGUGUGCAACCUACCUUUAUCCGGAGGAUAGCCUUUCGAAAGGAAGAUUAAUACUCCAUAAUAUAUUGAUUGGCAUCAAUUGAUAUUGAAAGCUCCGGCGGAUAGAGAUGGGCACGCGCAAGAUUAGUUAGUUGGUGAGGUAACGGCUCACCAAGACGAUGAUCUUUAGGGGGCCUGAGAGGGUGAUCCCCCACACUGGUACUGAGACACGGACCAGACUCCUACGGGAGGCAGCAGUGAGGAAUAUUGGUCAAUGGGUGCAAGCCUGAACCAGCCAUCCCGCGUGAAGGACGACUGCCCUAUGGGUUGUAAACUUCUUUUGUAUAGGGAUAAACCUACCCUCGUGAGGGUAGCUGAAGGUACUAUACGAAUAAGCACCGGCUAACUCCGUG